RNAcentral lists this ribosomal RNA (275 nucleotides) under uncultured prokaryote. RNAcentral describes it as "partial 16S ribosomal RNA". It matches the Rfam family "Bacterial small subunit ribosomal RNA", at positions 524 to 798 of the family's 1533-position model. The record is from RNAcentral.
UACGGAGGAUCCGAGCGUUAUCCGGAUUUAUUGGGUUUAAAGGGUGCGCAGGCGGGAGAUUAAGUUGGCGGUGAAAUUUUGCAGCUCAACUGUAAAAGUGCCUUCGAAACUGGUUUCCUUGAGUGUGGAUGAAGUAGGCGGAAUUUGUGGUGUAGCGGUGAAAUGCAUAGAUAUCACGAGGAACUCCGAUUGCGCAGGCAUCUUACUAAACCAUAACUGACGCUCAGGCACGAAGGCGUGGGGAUCAAACAGGAUUAGAUACCCGGGUAGUCCCU